AUUGAACGCUGGCGGAAUGCUUUACACAUGCAAGUCGAACGGCAGCACGGGGGCAACCCUGGUGGCGAGUGGCGAACGGGUGAGUAAUACAUCGGAACGUGCCCAGUCGUGGGGGAUAACGCAGCGAAAGCUGUGCUAAUACCGCAUACGAUCUACGGAUGAAAGCGGGGGAUCGCAAGACCUCGCGCGAUUGGAGCGGCCGAUGGCAGAUUAGGUAGUUGGUGGGGUAAAGGCUCACCAAGCCUGCGAUCUGUAGCUGGUCUGAGAGGACGAACAGCCACACUGGGACUGAGACACGGCCCAGACGCCUACGGGAGGCAGCAGUGGGGAAUUUUGGACAAUGGGCGCAAGCCUGAUCCAGCCAUUCCGCGUGCAGGAUGAAGGCCCUCGGGUUGUAAACUGCUUUUGUACGGAACGAAAAGGCUCUCUCUAAUACAGGGGGCUCAUGACGGUACCGUAAGAAUAAGCACCGGCUAACUACGUGCCAGCAGCCGCAGUAA
This 500-nucleotide ribosomal RNA is filed under the name uncultured bacterium. RNAcentral describes it as "partial 16S ribosomal RNA". It matches the Rfam family "Bacterial small subunit ribosomal RNA", at positions 29 to 523 of the family's 1533-position model. The record is from RNAcentral.